CUAGCUAAAUAAUUUAAAGCUGUUGGUGACAAUCGCGCACAUUUUCUUUGAAACAAUUUUUUGCAAUAAUUACGAGAAGUUUAUCAUCAGCUCAUCCCUUCCCCGCCAAAAUGGAAAAAUUAUCUGAAAGCGAGUCGGAUGAGCAGCCUCCCAAAAUUGCAAAAAUUGCGACAGCAUCUCGGAGAAGAAAGAGCAAUUUUAAAGCGCAAUGGCUUACGGAGUUUAAUUGGAUACGAAAAACGCGAAAUUCCACUGAAGCGAGAUGUGCUGCAUGCAGCUGCAACUUUACGAUUGAAUACGGUGAGAAAACAGCCAUAUACCGGCAUUUGAAACGUGCUAAACACGUUAAUAAUAUGAAAACAUUUCAUAACCAAUAAUCGGUGGUCAGUCUUUUGACAUCUGCGAAAAAUUUAAAUACUAGUGAAAAAUGUUUGGCGGAGGCUGUAUUUGCAUACCAUACAGUGGUUCACAGUCAUAGUUAUUUGUCGGCUGAUAGUAGCGGUAAGCUUUUUAAGAAAAUAUUUUCUGAUUCCGAAAUUGCAAAGAACUUUUCAUGUGGGCGAACAAAGUGUUCUAAAAUCGUUACAAAUAUGUUGGCGAAGCACUCUAUGAUGUUGUUUUACAUGAUUUAGAAGAAAAUCAUCCGUUUUCGCUGUCAACUGAUGCUUCUAACAAGGGAAAUAUCAAAACGUUUCCCAUAGUAUUGCGAUAUUUCAAUAAGAAGUCAGGUAUUAAUACAAAACUUUUGAAUUUUAGUAGUUUUCAUUCCGAACUUUCACUUGACGUUGCAAAUUUACUAAAAUUUAAACUACAAGCAAAUGCCCUAAAUUUAUUGAAUGUAACAAGUUUUUGCGCAGAUAAUGCUAAUGUGAAUUUUGGAAGCAAGAAAAGCAUAUUCGUUGAACUAAAAAAAGAAAAUUCGGAAAUAAUAGGCAUCGGUUGCCUAUGUCAUACACUUCACAAUUCGUUUAAGAAUUCGCUUCAAUAUUUAAAAUAUUGUAUCGAAAAUAUAAUUCUAAAAAUUUUUAAUGAGUUUAACUCUUCAACCAAGAGAACAACAAAGCUUAAGGAGUUGUUUGAAUUUUGUGACAUAGAAUGGAGUGAGAUGUUACGCCAUGUUCCAACUAGAUGGUUAAGUUUAACCCCUGCUAUUGAGAGGCUUUAUAAAAAUUGUAAUGCGAUAAAAUGUUAUAUCAUGUCACAAGAAUAUUGUCAAAAAAUUUUAAAACAGUUUUUCGAUCUUGAUGUUGCGAAAGCUUACUUGGGGUUUUCUAAUAAAUGUUGGUAAAAUUUUUGUCAAUACAAUAAAAAAUUAGAAACUGAUAACGAAUUAGUAUUCUUAAAUCUGUUUAGUAUAAUGAACAAACUGUAUAAAACGAUUAUUGAAAAAAGAAAACAGAAGUUUUAAGGAAGCAUUGCCCAAACUGUUUGUAAUAAGAGUAAUAAUAAUCAGGAAGUAAUAUUGUUCAAAAAGCGAGCGGAUGCAUUUCUUAGUAAUAUAAUUAAUUACUUAGAGGAACAUUUUAACUCUGAUGAUAACAAGUUUGAAACACAAAGCAAUCUAAAUUUAGAUUCAACACCGUGUUUUAAUUCUCUUAUUGAAAUAACAACAUUUGUUUAAUAUAAGAGCUAUUAAUCAGGACAGUUUAUUUGAUGAAUUUAUUGCAUUAAAAGGAUUUUGUGACAAUAAUAAAUAAAAAAAUAUUACAAAAAAAUUGAUGGAAUUUUUGAACAGUGGCGCUUUUCCUAAUCUGGAGAAAAUAUGCCAUUAUAUUUUUUUCAUUCCUCAUUCAAAUGCGGCGACGAAGAGAAUAUUUAGUUUAAUGUUUAACUUUUGGCGAAAAGAAAGAAAUAGGCUGUCCUUAGAAAAUGUCGAGAGUGAACUCAUUGUAAAAAAACAACUUCAAUUUAACUGAAAACAGAAACUGGCGAAGAUAUCGUAUCUAAUAUAAAAAAAUCUGAAAAAUAUUAAAUUAAUUAUAAGGCUUAAAUUAAAAAAAGGCCAUAUAUUCGAAGAG
Rhagoletis pomonella (apple maggot) is the source of this 2018-nucleotide long non-coding RNA. RefSeq lists it as uncharacterized. The transcript is spliced from 3 exons. The record is from RefSeq and is a predicted model, not a curated record. Lineage: Eukaryota; Metazoa; Arthropoda; Insecta; Diptera; Tephritidae.